Sarcophilus harrisii (Tasmanian devil) is the source of this 161-nucleotide non-coding RNA. Lineage: Eukaryota; Metazoa; Chordata; Mammalia; Dasyuromorphia; Dasyuridae. The record is from Rfam.
GAUAACAGCACAAUCCUAUUUGAGAGCCCAUAUCGAAAAUUAGGGUUUACGACCUUGAUAUUGGAUCAGGACACCCAAAUGUUGCAACUGCUAUUAAAGGUUCAUUUGUUCAACGAUUAAAGUCCUAUGUGAUCUGAGUUCAGACCGGAGAAAUUCAGGUC